RNAcentral lists this ribosomal RNA (254 nucleotides) under uncultured bacterium. RNAcentral's name for it is "partial 16S ribosomal RNA". It matches the Rfam family "Bacterial small subunit ribosomal RNA", at positions 524 to 776 of the family's 1533-position model. The record is from RNAcentral.
UACGGGGGGAGCAAGCGUUGUUCGGAUUUACUGGGCGUAAAGGGCGCGUAGGCGGCCAGCACAAGUCAGUUGUGAAAUCUCCGGGCUUAACUCGGAAAGGUCAACUGAUACUGUGCGGCUAGAGUGCGGAAGGGGCAACUGGAAUUCUCGGUGUAGCGGUGAAAUGCGUAGAUAUCGAGAGGAACACCUGCGGCGAAGGCGGGUUGCUGGGCCGACACUGACGCUGAGGCACGAAGGUCAGGGGAGCAAACGGG